CCUACGGGGGGCAGCAGUGGGGAAUAUUGCACAAUGGGGGAAACCCUGAUGCAGCGACGCCGCGUGAGUGAAGAAGUAUUUCGGUAUGUAAAGCUCUAUCAGCAGGGAAGAAAAAAGACGGUACCAGACUAAGAAGCCCCGGCUAACUACGUGCCAGCAGCCGCGGUAAUACGGAGGGGGCAAGCGUUAACCGGAUUUACUGGGUGUAAAGGGAGCGUAGGCGGAGGAGCAAGUCUGAAGUGAAAGCCCGGGGCUUAACCACGGAACUGCUUUGGAAACUGUUUGACUAGAGUGCUGGAGAGGUAGGUAGAAUUCCUAGUGUAGCGGUGAAAUGCGUAGAUAUGAGGAGGAACACCAGUGGCGAAGGCGGCUUACUGGACAGUAACUGACGUUGAGGCUCGAAAGCGUGGGGAGCAAACAGGAUUAGAUACCCGUGUAGUC
Molecule: ribosomal RNA, 441 nt
Filed under: uncultured bacterium
Lineage: Bacteria
Description: partial 16S ribosomal RNA
Rfam family: Bacterial small subunit ribosomal RNA
Source: RNAcentral